Molecule: non-coding RNA, 2691 nt
Organism: Musa acuminata subsp. malaccensis (wild Malaysian banana)
Lineage: Eukaryota; Viridiplantae; Streptophyta; Magnoliopsida; Zingiberales; Musaceae
Source: RefSeq, a predicted model, not a curated record
CUCUCUCUUUGUGGUUGGCCAUGGGUUUAACUGUGAUGGGGGUGCACCAUGAGAAGCUGAAGCUGCCAGCAUGAUCUGAGAAUUCCUCCAUCCUCUCUAUCUUCUGGAUCUUGGAUGAAGUCAUGCAGAUCAUGUUGCAGCUUCAUCUACUGGUGGGAGCACCAAAAGAGCACAGAGAAAACUCAGCCUACUUUUUCUUUCUUUCUCCUUUUAACCUAAUAAUUAAGGUUUCAUGGGAAGUAAAUGGGAUGGUUGCUGAUCUUGACUCGCUUGGCAUGACGAAUCUGGGAAGUAAAUGAGAUGUUUGCUGAUCUUGAUUUCCUUACCAUGUUGGAUUCAUGGGUAUUGUGCUUGUUUCUAUUCUGAUACUGUUGAUACCUUGUGACAACAAAGAAGACCCCUAAUCAUGUAAGAGGAAUGGGAUGGCUUGGCUCUCAUUUUGUUGGUGCCUUUGAGAUCUCGACCUUGGAAGAGAACCAAGGCAUCCUACCCUCAGUUCGACUUGCUUUCCUCUCCUUGGAAGCUACAUGGGUGCCAAGGAAAUCCAGCUAUAUUAGCAUGAUUUGUUUGGUGCCCUAUUAGCUUUUAAUGCCCGAUUCACUGGUGGAGGACACAUGUUGAACUGUUCCCAUCCAUGUAGCGUUUGUCUCAUGCAGCCUCACCGUUUGGUUGCAUGGAGUCCAGAACCUGUGGAGCCUCAGUUGAGCUUAGCACCAAAAUGGUAUGGCUAUGUAUGUUCAUAUAUGACUGCAAAAGCUUCUCCCCAUGGCUCUUGUUAUGUUUAGUUCCAUGGCAGUGGCUUGGGCAUCUAAACACAAAAGGGAUGCUGAAAGGGAGAGAUGGCUGCAAGGAGUAAAAAGGAGUUGAUGCAAUUGAGGAAAGUGAUCUGUCUCUGAGAAUUGAAGUCCCAUUGUAAGGAAUUGCUGCCAUGAGACAUGCAGACCAUGAUCGGUUUGAAGUACACAGAGUUCAGAGACAAAACUUGCUGUAUAGAUUUAUCACACAGGUGAUGUCAGAUUGGAAAAUGAUUCAACUUCAAUUUUAUUUUGAUUGGAUAAUCUGUUCAUUCAUGGUAGCAAAUUCCAUUGAUCCAAACAACAAAAGAGUUCCAUGACUAGUGACAGUAUUAUACCAAAACAUCAUGCACUAAUUUGAGAGAUAAUGAACAAUCAAUGCUGUUUCUGAUAGUGACCAAUUAAGAUAAAUAAGAAUUUGCAUAGUUAAUUUGAUGAGAAAUCUGAAAUGGUUACUAUCUUUGAUUAUGAGAAAGGACUCUUAUGAUUGGGUAAUCAAGUCUGCUUCACUUAUUAUGCAUUUAUGAGCACUGCAAUCUGCAAUGAGUUGGUAGCUCCAUAAGAUGUAUUUUUCUUAUUGUUAAUAAGGAUAUACUUUCUUAAUGGUAAAUGAAAACAAAACAUUAGAUGUAGCAUUAACAGUAAAAUCAGUUGGAUCAUCAGAAAUUUGCACUCACAAAAGGAUAAGAUGAACCAAUUUGGGAUCUUAAAUUGAUAGAGGAAAUCCAAGAAAGACUGUUGAUAUAAUAUGUGGAAGAGAUGAUAUAAAACAAAGAUCUAAAUUUUCAAUGAGAAUUAAGUUCAGACUUCCAUGAACAUCAUAUCAAAAUUAAAAGAUCUGCAUGUUUUUGUUUGUUUGCUUGCUUUUAACUGAGUUUGUCGCGAAGUCAAUCAUGUGUAUCAAUCAUUCUUUGUUAGUAUAAGGUGUUGAUCGAACACAAGUUCUUCAUUCAACUCAGCAACAUGCACAAUGCUGUUUGUUCUUCAGAUUCUCCGACUACACUCCUUUUAGCUUCUUGACUGAAUUGAAAUUGUUCUUCUUUUAGUCUUCAUUGAGGUCUGGAAUAAUAUGAAGAAAAAGCUUUUCUUUCUUUUUGUGUGAAUGAGAUUGGCUAGCUAGGAUCCUAUUCAAUUAUUGAAUCGACCGUAUUCUGAUUAGGUUAGCAUUAUGGUCCACCCCAUUGACAGAAAGCUUUGUUCUCAUUUGAGAUGAAUGUUCAUCAUUGGAGCCCUGUGGUACUUAUUGCUUGCAGAUCAGGAUCAUCAUCAGCCACAGUGGAAGCUUUUUGGAUCAAAAUUUCAUGUUUUUUUGUAGCUUCAUGAAAUUGAUAAGCCCACAUAUCAUUGUGCCAAUGAAUGUAUUGUGUUCUUGCAGCAGAUGCAGCUUACACAAAACUAUAGCAAGAAAUGUUCUUGCAGCAGCAGAUACAUGUACUCUGAACCAGCAAAGAAGCAAUCUUACCAUUCUAAUAGUUACUUCGAUCCAUGAACAGUGAGUGCAGUAUUAGCAUAACUUGAUGAAACCAAAGCUACAUUUCAGCAGAGGAGGAAGCCAUGUCCAAACUGACGGACAAGAACUGCGACACAGAUCGAGAGAGGUGCUGUAGCCAUGGACCAACUUGUCAUGGAUUAUAGUUCCAGGUUGGUUGGUUGAUAGCAACUCCACAACCGAAAGAUCUUACGGAGGUGAUCCACAGGGACACGGAAAACUGUAGCUUGGAUUUUGCUUCACAGUGCCAAGUUGUUCCACCGGCAUCAUCCAAAGGAAUCAGAAACCAUGUCUGGCAUUCUUCCCUACCGUGGAAGGUGUAAUGAGAUCAUGUACUGCUCUCAACCCAAACGCUUCUUUCUAUACUUUGCACCGAGCAUUAUAUUCUAUACAUCACAAACUUUAUCU